RNAcentral lists this ribosomal RNA (36 nucleotides) under Sundamomum laxesquamosum. RNAcentral describes it as "partial 5.8S ribosomal RNA". RNAcentral also lists the same sequence under 2 other names. Lineage: Eukaryota; Viridiplantae; Streptophyta; Magnoliopsida; Zingiberales; Zingiberaceae. The record is from RNAcentral.
UCUCGGCUCUUGCAUCGAUGAAGAACGUAGUGAAAU